Molecule: antisense RNA, 75 nt
Filed under: Thermomonospora umbrina
Lineage: Bacteria; Bacillati; Actinomycetota; Actinomycetes; Streptosporangiales; Thermomonosporaceae
Description: Actinomadura umbrina ASpks TB sRNA
Rfam family: ASpks TB sRNA
Source: Rfam by way of RNAcentral
CUUCAGCGACCCCAGCAGCAGCGGGCGGUCGGCGGGACGGUCCUGUCCGUAGGUCGCCAGCAGCGCCUGCGCCUC